ACGUCUGUCUGUUCCCAUGACUUCACUUCUGGCUUACAAAAAUACAAAGUGGGGUUUUUUAUAUUUUAUUGCAUAGACCUAUCAGAACACAGUGUUUCAACAACUGGAUAUGUUUGUGAAGAAAUCUGAACUUCAUCAAGAGGAAAGUGAUGCACAAAGGAUUAUUACAAGAACUUCAGAGUAACACAUAAUGAAGUUCUUGGCCACUUCUGCCUGUGUUUCUUAGGGAGUCUUUUUUAAUAUGGACUAGCAGAAAGAACAGAGAGAGGAAAAAGGUCAGGCAGCUGUAAUAGGAAAUUAUGGAAGCACAAGCAAGAGUUCUCACUCUGUGAAUAAAACAGAAACAAACCAGAACUGGUAGGGUCAAAGAGAUAGACCAAUGAAGAGGGACCUCAACAUCUCUACAUUUUUGAGUAAAGAUCAGAGACUCAAGUAUAUAGAAAUAAAGUUUCUACAUUAAGCCUUACUUUUUAUUUAAAAGGCUAUGUAGCUCUGGUAGGAAAGUAGUGUCCCAGGAGUUUUGUCUGGCUCUGUUCAUUCAUGAAUUCAGCUGCCCAUCUCUUUAGACCAUGUUGUUUACAUCUCCAGUUAUUGAAGAUGCCAUACGUUUAUUUUUUCCAUUCGAGAAUCCACAAAAAUAAAAUGCAUUUUAAAGAAAUCAAUCUUCCUCUGUUAGUGAUCUUAGUACACAAGAAGUAACUUUAUUUAAUCAAUAGCAACAAAAGACUAAGCCACAGUACAAAAACGUAAUAGACAAAAUAAUUGUACUAAUAGAAGUACCUACUAGCAUCAGAAGGCCAAAUUAGUAGAAUGAAACGAUGGUCUUUCCUAAAUUAAUUAAUUAAUUAAUUAAUUUUUAAAAAAACCCACCACACGCACAUCACAGAACUGAGAUAGAAAUGUUUUCUCAAACACAACUCUCUUUCAUACACAAUCAAAAUAAAGACAUCUACUUACAAGACAUAUAAAGCCUUGUAAGAAAAACUCAAGUCAAAAUUGUCAUAUUUUCCGUUUUUAGUAUAUAUUCUUUCAUGCUAAUAAUCUAUUAAUCAGACUGUUAAUAAGACUCCUGAUUAAACUCAGAUCCCUUAGAAAGCUCUGAACAAAGUCACGUUAUACAUUUUCUUUUUUUUAAUCCAACUGCCUUUGCAAGGAUUCAUUUCUUUUUUCCUUAUUGAGUAGUCCACCUACAGUCACUCUGUUCCACCUAACAUUUUUGUUCACACAAAAAAGCAAGAACAUACAAUGUUCAGGGAUAAAGAUCACCUACUAAAAUCAGAUCUACGUGCAGAGCCACUAAAAUAAAAUUUCCAAUACUGCAUCAUUUUCAUUUUCUCUGCUGCUACUGCUGAGUGGGGCUUCUUAUAACACACAGCCACAUGUUUAAAUUCAACAGUAUUUGUUUAUAUGCAUCUCUAUCCAGUAUACCCCCUUGGGGAAACUGGUACAGCAUGAAGAGGUGAAACUCGUGCUUGAAUCAUUAACUCUACUUCCUAAUAAAAAGCAAUAACAUGACACAGUAAAUACAGAGGCUACCAUCUUAACUUUCUUUUUCUUUUUACUACAAAUAAGGCAGAUAAAUUCAAAAUCUUCUCUCUUCAUUCUCAGUAAGUUAUUCAUACAGCACAAACACUGACACUGCAAAUGUUUCAAAAAAACUAAUCUCCAAGUAUUGUUUGCAGGGCAUUUCAAACAAGAAAAGCACCCAGAACUAUUAUUUAAUGAAAUCUUUCAGUUCUCCCUGCUCUUUAAAGGUUCAUGGAGCCAGACAAUUCUAGCACCAGUGGGCAAAGGUGGAGAUGAAAUACCUCAAGCAUUUCUGCUCCAGUUAGAGCUAUUUGAACAGCCUGUGUAACAGUUUAAUGAAGUUUAACAUCAAGUUAACUUUUCAUAGCUGACUGACACCAUUACUCUCCCUGUGAGUACAGCCAGCUGGCGUACACAAUAGCUUCAGGUGUGAUGUCUGUGAAGGGGACUGUCCACAAGACAAACCAGUGUUGAUAGUCUAAUUAUUUUAGCAGAAAAUCUGCCUGCUUAUUCUUAUUGUUCCAGUAGCAGACACAGACAAUGACCGAUUCACAGAAAAACUAACAAGGCUGCCUGGCAAUUACCCAGCCCAAUUACCCCACUGGUAAUUGCAGGACCAGUCAGCUUUCCUUCCACCAGCACAUAUACAUAACUUGCACAUGGUAAACUGCUGCUGCUGCUCUCGUUCUGGUUCAGAGCAAAGGUGACAGUCGAGCACCUGUCA
Molecule: long non-coding RNA, 2251 nt
Organism: Aquila chrysaetos chrysaetos
Lineage: Eukaryota; Metazoa; Chordata; Aves; Accipitriformes; Accipitridae
Exons: 2
Source: RefSeq, a predicted model, not a curated record